GUGGAUCCCUCGGCUUGUGGGUCGAUGAAGAACGCAGCUAAUUGCGCGUUGACAUGUGAAUUGCAGGACACAUGAACAUCGACAUUUCGAACGCACAUUGCGGCCCUAGGACUUGUUCCUGGGCCACACCUGACUGAGGGUCGGUUGACCAAACUCAACGACCAGACUGUCCGCGGGCUUUAAAACCCCGGACGAGAUUGGAGUCUCCGCGUCUUCGGGCGUGGUACCUCUUAAAUAAAGUGAGUGUGGGCUCGGCGUUCGCGUCGUCCCACCGAUAUCGCUGCACGGAAGGCAAUUGAGUGGGUUUUCACACGGUCUCACAACCGAGUAGGCUUGUCUCGUUCGCUUGGAUCUGAUGGCAACAUUGGUCCCGUGCGCUCGUUUUCGAUUUCGAUAAACGCGGCGCCGCGGACUAGUUUGCUUGAGCACAGUGGUCCCCUCGGGACAAAGAUCCAGGCGGGCGGCGCGUGCACGAGUCUCGAGGCUAUUGUGAAAUACUCUUUAUUCUGUGCAGUGAGCAGCGCUUCGUCUUCCAGGGCGAUUCGCUAUCACGACCUCAGUCAAGGGAAACUUACCCCCUGAAUUUAAGCAUAUUACUAAGGGGAGGAAAAGAAACUAAC
Molecule: ribosomal RNA, 620 nt
Filed under: Scirtothrips dorsalis
Lineage: Eukaryota; Metazoa; Arthropoda; Insecta; Thysanoptera; Thripidae
Description: eukaryotic LSU rRNA
Rfam family: 5.8S ribosomal RNA (bases 1-143)
Source: RNAcentral